Molecule: long non-coding RNA, 962 nt
Organism: Vespa mandarinia (Asian giant hornet)
Lineage: Eukaryota; Metazoa; Arthropoda; Insecta; Hymenoptera; Vespidae
Source: RefSeq, a predicted model, not a curated record
CGAAUUUUGUUGCCAGCCGGACUGUCGGUAAAGUAGCUUAUUUUUCGUGUGUUCGUAAAUCUCGUAAGUCAAACGACGUGGAACUUAUCUCUUUUCUGCUUCGAGUUUUACAAAAGGAUAUAGAAAAUGAUUGAACGAGGAAUCAAUAGUAUCAAGUAUGACAUAUCAUAUUCCAAGAAAGACAUUAUUUGUCAGGAUGAACGAUUAUACGAUUCUCCGCGCCAUCUGUGGAGCUUACGGAGAAACAAAAUUGCUGAAGAUACGAGAAGGCGCGAAAAUAUUCAAAAAAGAAUAUUUGAAAUAACGUUCUGACAAAGUAUCUUAAACAUUUCUAUAACAUUCGCAUGGAUAUUCUCGAUAAAAGAUAUUUAUAUUAAAAAGUCAUUUGAGAUUUCACGAUAUUUAAUUUUGGUUAAUCAUGAAUGUCAUUCGAAUAAUAGAUCGAAAGUCGUAUGAGUUUAUAAGAAAAACAGUUUUACGAAGGUAAUUACGAAAGAACGAGACGAUAAAAGUGCGUAGAUCAUUCUUCGUCCUUGUAUGGUUUACAAGACUCGAUGAGUUUCAAACUUGCAAGAGUAUAUAUAUAUAUAUAUAUAUAUAUGGCGUCCAUUUACUUCCACAGCAAGUCCAUAUAUGGAUAACGGUUUUAAAACCACCCAAAGACAUUCCUUAUUUUACUUACUUUCGUAUACAUAUAUUUAUAUAUGUAUACAAUAUAUUCUGGUUGAUACGUGUUAAUAGGUCAAUUUUCCUUUAAUGAUUUUCACAUAGUAUAAAACAACAUAUAGUGUUACAGAUUUUUUUUUAUUAAAUCUGUGGUAAAAUGUAGAAAUAACAAAAUUCAAAGAAAAGAAAAGAAAAGAAAUGUUACAUGUAUAAAACUUCCUUUAAGAAUUAAUUGUUUGUAUUUUAAUUGUCUCAAAAGUAAAGAGACCAGGAUAUGGAUUAUUAAAAUAGAUAGG